AUUGAACGCUGGCGGCAGGCUUGACACAUGCAAGUCGAGCGGAGCGAGGGUGCUUGCACCUUAGCUUAGCGGCGGACGGGUGAGUAAUGCUUAGGAAUCUGCCUAUUAGUGGGGGACAACAUUCCGAAAGGAAUGCUAAUACCGCAUACGCCCUACGGGGGAAAGCAGGGGAUCUUCGGACCUUGCGCUAAUAGAUGAGCCUAAGUCGGAUUAGCUAGUUGGUGGGGUAAAGGCCUACCAAGGCGACGAUCUGUAGCGGGUCUGAGAGGAUGAUCCGCCACACUGGGACUGGGACACGGCCCAGAGUCCUACGGGAGGCAGCAGUGGGGAAUAUUGGACAAUGGGCGGAAGCCUGAUCCAGCCAUGCCGCGUGUGUGAAGAAGGCCUUUUGGUUGUAAAGCACUUUAAGCGAGGAGGAGGCUACUUAGAUUAAUACUCUGGGAUAGUGGACGUUACUCGCAGAAUAAGCACCGGCUAACUCUGUGCCAGCCGCCGCCGUAA
RNAcentral lists this ribosomal RNA (501 nucleotides) under uncultured bacterium. RNAcentral's name for it is "partial 16S ribosomal RNA". It matches the Rfam family "Bacterial small subunit ribosomal RNA", at positions 30 to 523 of the family's 1533-position model. The record is from RNAcentral.